This 103-nucleotide microRNA precursor is filed under the name Marmota monax (woodchuck). The record is from RNAcentral. Lineage: Eukaryota; Metazoa; Chordata; Mammalia; Rodentia; Sciuridae.
AGUGGGAUAGCUGGGUCAAAUGGUGGUUCCAUGCCCAGUUUUCCAAGAAUUUUCCAUACUGCUUUCCAUAUUGGGUACACCAAUAUGCAGUCCCACCAGCAAU